Monodelphis domestica (gray short-tailed opossum) is the source of this 2718-nucleotide long non-coding RNA. RefSeq lists it as uncharacterized. Lineage: Eukaryota; Metazoa; Chordata; Mammalia; Didelphimorphia; Didelphidae. The record is from RefSeq and is a predicted model, not a curated record.
CCUAUCCUGGAAUCAACAUAGUCCUCCCUCCUUUUCCCAGAAAGAUCAGCAGAAAUGCCUGGGGAAGCCCCAGCUGAAGGCAGGGCUAGGAGAAGUAGGAGGAGUAUGAGUGGAUCAGGAAGAGCGCAGGUCGCGAAGUAAAUUGGGAGCAGCCCAAGUCUGAGGCAGAAUGGGGGAGCAGUCCUACCUUUUUCCAAACCGUCUAAGGCAAUGAAAGGGGGACUUGGGGAAAGGUCCCCCCUACGCGCUUCCCGGUAGCCUGAGGUUUUGUUUUCCAGAUACUUCUGUCAAAGGCAAGAGUCCCAGAUAAUGUGAAAUGAGUGAAUUCAUAAGAAAUUUAAACAUUUUGGCUAUGAACAAAGAAGUCCAUAUGCAAGUGACUAUAUGGUCUUUGAGAAACAUCAGCAAACAGGAAGAAAAAGUUUGGCACCUAACUGAAGAAGUGAACAAGAUUACUCUUUCCUUAUCAAUAUUGCUUUGAUGGUGAAAGGACUUGCAUGCUGAAGAACAUGGAAUUAAUUUUUAUUAUUAUAAUAACUGCCAUCAGUUGUAUUGCCAUAUUAAUUUUAUAUUCUUUAUUACAUUGCUUAUUUUGCCCUCAUAGUCGAUAUGAAACUGAUAGAAAAAGAAAUUCAUUAGGAGCUGGUUGUCACUGGGAAGGAGAUGACACAUUUGGAAGAAAUGAUGAUUAUUUGGGAGAAGUUGAUGCUUAUAGAGGAGAUGAUUCCCAUGAAAUAGGUGAUACAUGUGGAGGAAGUGAUUCCUGGGGAGGUGGUGGUACAUGGGGAGGAGAUGAUAUGUGUGGAGAAGGUGAUACAUGUGGAGGAGGUGAUUUGUGUGGAGGAGGUGAUUCCUUUGGAGGAGGUGAUACAUGUGGAGGAGGUGAUUCCUUUGGAGGAGGUGAUACAUGUGGAGGAGGUGAUUAGUUUGGGAUUGUGGUCUAAGAAGAGAAGAGAAAAGAAAAGAGAAUUGUUCUGGUUCAAUGACUUGAAAUAUAUCUUACCCCUGUCCACUAGAGGCACAGAUUUAUUAUCAGAUCAGCUUGAGUCCUUGUUUUGUAUUGGAGUGAGUAUCUAAUCCUAAGUCAAAAAACUCCAUUUGACUAAAAGAAAUUCAUUUUUACAAAAUGAUGGGAUUCUUUGCCUUGUAAGAGAAGGUUGGCAAUCAUGGAAGGUCAAUGAACUUGGAAGAGCUGCAGAAGAUCUACAGCAGUGGGAGAUGAGGAAAAAGAACACGGAACUUUGGAGAAAGAGGGAGGAGUGAGUUGAUCCAGCAGUUGGGAGACUGACUUCUGUCUGGAAACACACCAGAGAGGUUGGCUCCAGCUAAUUCUCUGAACCAGUGAUCUCUUUCCCUGUGAUUCCUGACUCCAGAUCCUCACAAGAAGACAAGCCAAUUGGACAGGCCUUUGAAAUUUAAGCUGUCCACUAAGAGACAUUUCCAUCAACCUCCUUGAACUUGAACUUGGGGACACUUUCUGUCCAGCCAAGAACAAGAGUCUCUUUACUCUGACCCCAAGGGGUCAGGUGAACCAAACCCUGAUCUGCCUGGCUUUGGGGGGGAAGGGUAUUAGUUAGAUAGGGAACCCUUCUCCCUCCUUCCUUCCUGAACCUCAUUUCCUUACCCUCAAUCUGCCAUGUUCCUUUUCUGUUUUCCUCAAAUAAAGUCAGUUAAGACCCAGGAACUGACUCAGACUGUUACUAGAGGGAAACUUCAACGGGAUCCUUCAAAGAACCCAGCAGUUAAGAGUAGAAGACAGCCAUAGUGGGGUGGUGGUGUCAGAGAGUGCUGAGGGAGGAAGGACAAACCAUGCUCCUUUAUCUCCCUUAGCUUAUCAAUAUCACCUUCUCACUCUGUCUCUGUCUCAGAUGGGGAAGACUUCAUUCUCUUUUUCACCUUUCUUCCCUUGUCAUAAAUACCUUGUUUACCCCUAUAUUAUAACCUUCAAAAAGGCUUCCAAGGUAUGGCAUAUAAACAAAUGAUUAGAUGGGCAAAAAAGAACUAGAGGAGAAAUUUAAAAUAGACUAUGAUGUCAAUAAUUCUUUAAACAUUCUUUUAAAAAAGCACAGAUAGGAAGUUUAAUCUUUGUGGAACACCAUGACCAGAAAAAGAAAGUUCACUCAGGAGGGACAUGAUAACUUUUUUGGCCUCCAUUUUUUUACUGAAGAGAGGUUGGGGAGACAAUUUUUCCCCAAAUGUUUCCUGAAGUAGACUCCAUUAGAUUAUGAUAAACACAUGAGAUUCUAGACCUCAUUGAGAAACUAGGUGUGAAGAAAGCCCAAGAUUCAAGGUCUCUCAAGAAGGAGGACAUACCUUAAUUGGUUCAAUUUCUCCCUCUGGGAGGAGGGAGGGAGCAAGCAUUUAUUGGGUUAUAGGUGCUAUUAUCUCCAUAUUACAAUGGAGGAAACUGAGACAAAGAAAAGUUAAACAAUUUUCCCAGUGUCAUUCAGCUACAAAAUAUCAAAAUUUGGAUUUGAACUUAGGCCUUCCUCACUCCAGACCAAACAAUCCUUUGCAUUGUGCAUUAUAGCUGCCUCAAGGGUCUCAAAUGCCAUCAAGUGCAACACCCUUAUUUUAUGGAUGAGGAAACUGAAGCAUAGAGAGUGGAAUUAACUUACUUAAGAUGAGGCAAGUAGUAAAUUUUGGAGAUGAGAUUUCAAUUCAAGUUCUUUAACUGUUGUUUCACCUAAUAAAAUGUAAUCACUGAAGGGACAUGAA